UACGUAGGGGGCAAGCGUUGUCCGGAAUUAUUGGGCGUAAAGCGCGCGCAGGUGGCUCUUUAAGUCUGGUGUUUAAUCCCGAGGCUCAACUUCGGGUCGCACUGGAAACUGGAGAGCUUGAGUGCAGAAGAGGAGAGUGGAAUUCCACGUGUAGCGGUGAAAUGCGUAGAGAUGUGGAGGAACACCAGUGGCGAAGGCGACUCUCUGGGCUGUAACUGACGCUGAGGCGCGAAAGCUAGGGGAGCAAACGGG
RNAcentral lists this ribosomal RNA (252 nucleotides) under uncultured bacterium. RNAcentral's name for it is "partial 16S ribosomal RNA". It matches the Rfam family "Bacterial small subunit ribosomal RNA", at positions 524 to 776 of the family's 1533-position model. The record is from RNAcentral.